Molecule: ribosomal RNA, 904 nt
Filed under: uncultured bacterium
Lineage: Bacteria
Description: bacterial SSU rRNA
Rfam family: Bacterial small subunit ribosomal RNA
Source: RNAcentral
ACGCUAGCGAUAGGCUUAACACAUGCAAGUCGAGGGGCAGCGAGCGAGAUAGCAAUAUCUUGUGUCGGCGACCGGCGCACUGGUGAGUAACACGUAUGCAACCUGCCCUCUACAGGGGGAUAAUCCGGAGAAAUUCGGUCUAAUAUCCCAUAGUCCCUGAGUUUGCAUGAGCUUGGGGGGAAAGCUCCGGCGGUAGAGGAUGGGCAUGCGGCGCAUUAGCUGGUUGGCGGGGUAACGGCCCACCAAGGCGACGAUGCGUAGGGGUCCUGAGAGGAAGGUCCCCCACACUGGUACUGAGACACGGACCAGACUCCUACGGGAGGCAGCAGUGAGGAAUAUUGGUCAAUGGGCGCGAGCCUGAACCAGCCAAGCCGCGUGAGGGACGACGGUCCUACGGAUUGUAAACCUCUUUAGGCGGGGAGUAAUGUGCUCUACGAGUAGAGUAGUGAGAGUACCCGCAGAAUAAGCAUCGGCUAACUCCGUGCCAGCAGCCGCGGUAAUACGGAGGAUGCGAGCGUUAUCCGGAUUUAUUGGGUUUAAAGGGUGCGCAGGCUGUGCAUCAAGUCAGCGGUAAAAUCUCGGGGCUCAACCCCGUUUAGCCGUUGAAACUGGUGUGCUGGAGUGUGCGCGAGGAAGGCGGAAUGCGCGGUGUAGCGGUGAAAUGCAUAGAUAUUGCGCAGAACUCCGAUUGCGAAGGCAGCCUUCCAGUGCAUGACUGACGCUGAGGCACGAAAGCGUGGGUAUCGAACAGGAUUAGAUACCCUGGUAGUCCACGCAGUAAACGAUGAAUACUAUCUUUCCGUCGGCCUGAGCGGGGGGAGGACAAGCGAAAGCGUUAAGUAUUCCACCUGGGGAGUACGCCGGCAACGGUGAAACUCAAAGGAAUUGACGGGGGCCCGCACAA